Molecule: ribosomal RNA, 3443 nt
Filed under: Acrobeloides nanus
Lineage: Eukaryota; Metazoa; Nematoda; Chromadorea; Rhabditida; Cephalobidae
Description: eukaryotic LSU rRNA
Rfam family: Eukaryotic large subunit ribosomal RNA
Source: RNAcentral
AAAUAUUAUCUUGACACCUUUAUGUCAAACUUUUAAGAAAAAUUUAAAAAAUUGAAAAUACGCAAAAAACCCCGGAUUUUUUAUAGGUCAAAAAUUCAAUGUUUUAGCCAUGGCUCCUCAGGAAAAUGUAUGCGCGCGAAAAUUUUUACUCAAAUUUUUAGCCCUUCAUGUGGUCCUUGAAAAUGCGACGGAGCCUUAAUGAAUUUCGUGCCUGGCCGUACCGAUAUCCGCAGCAGGUCUCCAAGGUGAACAGCCUCUAGUCGAUAGAAUAAUGUAGGUAAGGGAAGUCGGCAAAUUAGAUCCGUAACUUCGGGAAAAGGAUUGGCUCUAAGGGUUGGGCCGGUCGGGCUGUUGUGCAAAACUUGCUGGCUUUGCCCAUGGCUGCGGGAGGCUCACGCCGAACGCGGACUAGCGGUAAGGCUGGCUUGUGGAGCGCUUCAGCUGCGUGCAGGUUUCGGCCUGUACUUCGGCCGGCAAUAAACAACCGACUUAGAACUGGCACGGACUCGGGGAAUCCGACUGUCUAAUUAAAACAGAGGAGACGGAUGGUCCUUGCGGACGUUGACCGUCUCUGAUUUCUGCCCAGUGCUCUGAAUGUUAACUUAAGGAAACUUAAUUAAGCGCGGGUAAACGGCGGGAGUAACUAUGACUCUCUUAAGGUAGCCAAAUGCCUCGUCAUCUAAUUAGUGACGCGCAUGAAUGGGUUCCAAUGUCUAAUGCCUCCACGUGGCGGUAACCCGGUAAACGUCUCCCUACCAUCCGUGGCUAAGGGUAGACGGCAAAACUUAGACACAACAUCCCUUUGGCAAGAGCUUUGCUCACAUGCACUUAGGGAUGUAAGUUAAUCUACCCUUGAAUUUUCCAAGGGCAGAUUACAAAAAGCUACCUCUAACUGGUUGAUACACCUGUUAUAGCGUAGCCUCCUCGACCUCCCCAUGCAAAAGGGGUUGAGUCGAGAGGACCCACAGGGCCACUUCUCUCAUGGACGGUAUUUGUUUGUUUUACUCAUACUGUCCAUAAGUUGGUACAUCUGAAAUAUUGUUUAGAUCAAAUGGCUAAGCAAAUUAAAGGUCAGAUGACCCAAGAUAAUAUCGUAGUGUUGCCCCUGGCAACAGUGUUCAAGCAGAUCCGGAUCCAGAAGGAUGGAGAGAACGUCACAGUCAAUGCGUCAGCAUUGACUAGAAUUCUGCAUGAUGCACUUCAGAAGAAAGAAAAGGCCAGUGGCGGUAAACCUGCGCCUCGAGCUGUCAUAGAUGAGUAAUCAUUUAGAUGAUAUCAACUGUUAUAAAUAAAAAAUAAAUUUAGAGCUUCGAUACAGCGAAUAGUGAUGGCCACCUUGGCAGCACAUGGCAGCAGCGCCCAAGAUGCUACUUUGGAAAGUACGUCUCAGAACACGUACUCGAAGUAACAUUAACCCAUUUAUUCUCAAUAAUAAACAUUUUUAAGGGAUGAAGCUGCAUCCCGCAAAGAUGUCAAGAAGAAGUCUCGAAAAUCAUCGGUGGAGAUGACAUCUCCACCCCUGAAGAAAGACAAAAUGGCGAUGGACGACCAAUAAACCGCCACUGUUUUAUUGUUUAAUGUUUUAAAAAAUAAAGUUGUUAAGUUAAUUUUGUCGAAUCGAGCCUAAGCUGGCGGGCCUAAUCGGCUACAAUGAAGUGGGCCGCCUACGGGGAGUGCCCACUGAAAUUGUUUUUUUUUCCGCCAAAAUUUUAGUGUUCGAUCUGACAAAAACUUACAACUUUUGAAAAAAUUUCCGAGUCCGGGAAAUGUUACGCUUUAAGCGACUUGUUCUAUAUGAGGAAUAACAGACUAGUCAAAACGACUAUAAAGAAAGUGUGCUUGACCGUGCCCAAAUAAGCUAACGUUAUGCCAAAUAGCUGGCAUUGCUAGAGAAAAGAAUUCAAUUAAUUCAUUCAUGUGCGCUACUCACUACUGGGGAAAGUACUAAUCAGACACUAACCGUGUUAGAUCUAAAUAGCGAACUAGAAACACUGAUCGACCCUUUGCACUAGUGCAUUGAAGGGGGAUCAAUUGCGACCCCCGUGGGUGUCAUGGUGCUCUCGCAGGAACUCCGCCUGCGAUCCUAUCGACAGUCGCAGGUCAUCGAAUGGCUGUGAGGCCGUUUUAGUGUCCUAGUGACGCGCAUGAAUGGAUUAACGAGAUUCCCACUGUCCCUAUCUACUAUCUAGCGAAACCACAGCCAAGGGAACGGGCUUGGCAAAUACAGCGGGGAAAGANUUAACUUAAGGAAACUUAAUUAAGCGCGGGUAAACGGCGGGAGUAACUAUGACUCUCUUAAGGUAGCCAAAUGCCUCGUCAUCUAAUUAGUGACGCGCAUGAAUGGAUUAACGAGAUUCCCACUGUCCCUAUCUACUAUCUAGCGAAACCACAGCCAAGGGAACGGGCUUGGCAAAUACAGCGGGGAAAGAAGACCCUGUUGAGCUUGACUCUAGUCUGACUCUGUGAAGAAUCAUGAGAGGUGUAGCAUAAGUGGGAGGUUUCGGCCGCCAGUGAAAUACCACUACUUUCAUCGAUUCCUUACUUAUUCGGUAAGACGGGAAUUGAACUUCAAUGUUCUUGAUUUUGGUGUUAAGGAUAGCCACUUGGUGGUCGUCCGACCCGCGCCGACGACCGUGUCAGGCGGGGAGUUUGACUGGGGCGGUACAUCUGUCAAAUCGUAACGCAGGUGUCCUAAGGCGAGCUCAGAGAGGACGGAAACCUCUCGUAGAGUAAAAGGGCAAAAGCUCACUUGAUCUUGAUUUUCAGUACGAAUACAGACCGCGAAAGCGUGGCCUAUCGAUCCUUUUGAAUUAGAGAGUUUCUAGCAAGAGGUGUCAGAAAAGUUACCACAGGGAUAACUGGCUUGUGGCAGCCAAGCGUCCAUAGCGACGUUGCUUUUUGAUCCUUCGAUGUCGGCUCUUCCUAUCAUUGCGAAGCAGAAUUCGCCAAGCGUUGGAUUGUUCACCCACCAAUAGGGAACGUGAGCUGGGUUUAGACCGUCGUGAGACAGGUUAGUUUUACCCUACUGUAGACGAGCUGUUACGAUAGUAAUCCUGCUUAGUACGAGAGGAACUGCAGGUUCAGACAUUUGGUUCAUGUGCUUGGUCGAUAGACCAAUGGUGCGAAGCUACCAUCUGAGGGAUUAUGACUGAACGCCUCUAAGUCAGAAUCCCGCCUAGUCAAUGUAACAGUAUUUUUGCUCCCCGGUGUCGGGAGGCGCUUCUAUGCAUCGCUUGCGGUGCAGCAUAUGCCCCAGUAUCUGGCCUGGUCGAGUAGCCUAAUCGUUGCUCGAUUGCCAAAGCCAUAUCACUAUGGUGAAACGUCGGGGUGCAAGAUCACUUGUAAACGACUUGAUUACUGGUCAAGGGGUUGUAUCCGGUAGAGCAGCGCAUGCUGCGAUCCGUUGAGACUUAGCCUCUGAUCGGAUGAUUUGUUUUUUUUAC